RNA transcript from Beta vulgaris subsp. vulgaris (sugar beet), 1582 nucleotides. RefSeq lists it as hypothetical. Lineage: Eukaryota; Viridiplantae; Streptophyta; Magnoliopsida; Caryophyllales; Amaranthaceae. The transcript has 10 exons. The record is from RefSeq and is a predicted model, not a curated record.
GAACAUUUCGAAAGUAGGCACAGCAACUUUUUUCCCAUUCCAAUUGAAAUGAGAUCAAGAAUGAGUGGAUAGUAACUUAAGAACAUCAUCUCCAAUUCUCCACUCCCCUCCCUCCCAAAAAAAAAGAAGAUAUUUUCACUCUCUAAUAUAUAAACCAAAUCUCCCUUCUCUUGUUCUGUGACACACAAACCAAUUAACCAAGUAAUAACCCAAAAAGAAAAACAAUGGCAAUCUUGAGUUACAUGACAGUGAACUCAGGAACAACACCAAUAUCAAAAGACUCAUCAUUAUCAUCAUCAAGUCCAGCAACAAAUACAAUGCCCACCAAAAUCAUUCUCCCAAACAAGAAACAAGCUAAAUGGUCAACCGGCACGGCACCCGGCGAAUACGGUGGACCACCAAUCACCACCAAACUCCGUAAGUACUGGGGAGGUGAGAAAGAGGAUCCCAUUACUUCAUCUGAUUUGAUUUGGAACAGAGAUUUUAUGCCACAAAUGGAGAAGUUACUUGUUCAUGAUCAACCUCAACUUUCUGCUCCUCCCUCUGACACUGUUGAGGAGUCGUCUGGAUUUCUUAGCUUCAAUCGAGUCAUGAGUCUCGACAGUUUAGAAGUUGAUCUCAGUGCUUCUCUUAAAGCAACUCCGAAGCCAGAAUUAGUACAGCAAGUUUUAACACCCAAAAAUACGCAAGUUCCUACACGAAGAUGGAAAUUGGCACCUACUAAACGUGAGCAGGAGAAAUGGGAUAAAGCAUACAAGGCUGCGACUGGGGGCACUGAUGUAAUGCUGCGCGAGGUAAAAAAACCUCGGGGAGACCCAGAAGUUUUAGCUGCCGAAUCAAGAGAGCAAUAUUAUAAGCUGAAGAACAAAAUGCAAAUUCUAACAUUGGGAAUAGGUGGUGUUGGCCUAGUUUCAGCUUAUGUUUCUUACUCUCCAGAAAUUGCAACAAGUUUUGGUGUUGGAUUUCUUGGAUCACUGGCCUACAUACGGAUGCUGGGUAAUAGUGUGGACUCCAUGGCCUCCACUGGAGCUAAGAGAAUGAUAAAGGCAGCAGUUGGGCAGCCUAGGCUAUUGGUACCAGUUGUGUUAGUCAUGGUUUACAAUCGUUGGAACGGGAUUGUGGUUCCUCAAUAUGGACUUAUGCACCUGGACUUGAUACCAAUGCUAGUAGGGUUCUUCACCUACAAAAUUGCUACUUUUGUCCAAGCGAUCGAGGAAGCGCUGACUGUAGUGGGGAAGAAGUCAGAGAUAUGAGCUACUUCUCUCUUUACUUCAAUUUUCAGGUCAUUUGAUGUUCCAAUACAACUAAUCCAAAUUAAACAAGUGGCUUGAAGAGCGUACUCAUCAAACAGGAAACAACAUCAUACUUUGAAAGAUUUGACAGAAUAGCAAGACCAUGCUCAAUGCUGACAGUUUGAGGAACAUAAAGACGUCAGUAUUUACAUUCAAGUUAUCAAAGUAAUGGUAUAAUUAUGUAAUAAGUAGAUCGAUGUCACGGUCAUUUUACACAAGAUGUAGCUUUACUCCAUUGUAAAUGCAGGUUAAUCUAUGACAAUACUCCCUCUGUCCCAAUUUAGCUGUUA